GUGCCAGCAGCCGCGGUAAUACGAAGGGAGCUAGCGUUGUUCGGAAUUACUGGGCGUAAAGGGCGCGUAGGCGGCUCUUUUAGUCAGGCGUGAAAGCCCCGGGCUCAACCUGGGAACAGCGCUUGAUACUGGAGGGCUUGAGUGCGGGAGAGGAUGGUGGAAUUCCCAGUGUAGAGGUGAAAUUCGUAGAUAUUGGGAAGAACACCGGUGGCGAAGGCGGCCAUCUGGACCGCAACUGACGCUGAGGCGCGAAAGCGUGGGGAGCAAACAGGAUUAGAAACCCUUGUAGUCC
Molecule: ribosomal RNA, 292 nt
Filed under: uncultured bacterium
Lineage: Bacteria
Description: partial 16S ribosomal RNA
Rfam family: Bacterial small subunit ribosomal RNA
Source: RNAcentral